AACGCGAAGAACCUUACCAAGGCUUGACAUCCUCCCGACAGGUGUAGAGAUACAUCUUCCCUCCGGGGCGGGAGAGACAGGUGGUGCAUGGUUGUCGUCAGCUCGUGUCGUGAGAUGUUGGGUUAAGUCCCGCAACGAGCGCAACCCUUACCUUUAGUAGCCAGCACGUUAAGGUGGGCACACUAGAGGGACUGCCGUGGAUAACACGGAGGAAGGCGGGGAUGACGUCAAAUCAUCAUGCCCCUUAUGUCUUGGGCGACACACGUGCUACAAUGGCUCAUACAAAGUGAAGCGAGCCCGCGAGGGGGAGCAAAGCACAAAAGUGAGUCCCAGUUCGGAUUGUAGUCUGCAACCCGACUACAUGAAGUUGGAAUCGCUAGUAAUCGCAAAUCAGCAUGUUGCGGUGAAUACGUUCCCGGGUCUUGUACACACCG
This 434-nucleotide ribosomal RNA is filed under the name uncultured bacterium. RNAcentral describes it as "bacterial SSU rRNA". It matches the Rfam family "Bacterial small subunit ribosomal RNA", at positions 958 to 1392 of the family's 1533-position model. The record is from RNAcentral.